UAAGCGGAGGAAAAGAAACCAACAGGGAUUGCCCUAGUAACGGCGAGUGAAGCGGCAACAGCUCAAAUUUGAAAGCUGGCCUUCGGGUCCGCAUUGUAAUUUGUAGAGGAUGCUUUGGGUGAAACGCCAGUCUAAGUUCCUUGGAACAGGACGUCAUAGAGGGUGAGAAUCCCGUAUGUGACUGGAAAUGUUAACCUAUGUAAAGCUCCUUCGACGAGUCGAGUUGUUUGGGAAUGCAGCUCUAAAUGGGAGGUAAAUUUCUUCUAAAGCUAAAUAUUGGCGAGAGACCGAUAGCGCACAAGUAGAGUGAUCGAAAGAUGAAAAGCACUUUGGAAAGAGAGUUAAAAAGCACGUGAAAUUGUUGAAAGGGAAGCGCUUGCAAUCAGACUUGUUUAAACUGUUCGGCCGGUCUUCUGACCGGUUUACUCAGUUUGGACAGGCCAGCAUCAGUUUCGGCGGCCGGAUAAAGGCUCUGGGAAUGUGGCCUUCACUUCGGUGGAGGUGUUAUAGCCCAGGGUGUAAUACGGCCAGCCGGGACUGAGGUCCGCGCUCGGCUA
RNAcentral lists this ribosomal RNA (557 nucleotides) under Aureobasidium pullulans. RNAcentral describes it as "eukaryotic LSU rRNA". It matches the Rfam family "Eukaryotic large subunit ribosomal RNA", at positions 47 to 612 of the family's 3401-position model. The record is from RNAcentral. RNAcentral also lists the same sequence under 1 other name. Lineage: Eukaryota; Fungi; Ascomycota; Dothideomycetes; Dothideales; Saccotheciaceae.